RNAcentral lists this ribosomal RNA (263 nucleotides) under uncultured bacterium. Its description in RNAcentral is "partial 16S ribosomal RNA". It matches the Rfam family "Bacterial small subunit ribosomal RNA", at positions 92 to 354 of the family's 1533-position model. The record is from RNAcentral.
CGACCGGCGCACGGGUGAGUAACGCGUAUGCAACUUACCUAUCAGAGGGGGAUAACCCGGCGAAAGUCGGACUAAUACCGCAUGAAGCAGGGGCCCCGCAUGGGGAUAUUUGCUAAAGAUUCAUCGCUGAUAGAUAGGCAUGCGUUCCAUUAGGCAGUUGGCGGGGUAACGGCCCACCAAACCGACGAUGGAUAGGGGUUCUGAGAGGAAGGUCCCCCACAUUGGUACUGAGACACGGACCAGACUCCUACGGGAGGCAGCAG